This 299-nucleotide ribosomal RNA is filed under the name Hyperolius rubrovermiculatus. RNAcentral's name for it is "partial 16S ribosomal RNA". It matches the Rfam family "Bacterial large subunit ribosomal RNA", at positions 2243 to 2608 of the family's 2925-position model. The record is from RNAcentral. Lineage: Eukaryota; Metazoa; Chordata; Amphibia; Anura; Hyperoliidae.
AUAAUAAGACUGUUCUUUAAUAGUUUUCGGUUGGGGCGACCCUGGAGAAAAAUAAAUCCUCCAGAUUGAAAAAUAACCCUUAUAUAAGAACCACAAUUCAAAUAAACAAAAAUUUGACAAAACUGACCCAGAAUAACUGAUCAGUGAACCAAGUUACCCUAGGGAUAACAGCGCUAUCCAUUUUGAGAGUCCGUAUUGACAAAUGGGUUUACGACCUCGAUGUUGGAUCGGGGUAUCCCAGCAGCGCAGCAGUUGCUAAUGGUUCGUUUGUUCAACGACUAACACCCCACGUGAUCUGG